RNAcentral lists this long non-coding RNA (313 nucleotides) under Linum usitatissimum (flax). Its description in RNAcentral is "long non-coding RNA (LUSI_LNC007574)". Lineage: Eukaryota; Viridiplantae; Streptophyta; Magnoliopsida; Malpighiales; Linaceae. The record is from RNAcentral.
UAAAAACUAAACUCUAAAACCUGAACUCUAAAUCCUAAACACUAAACCAAAUCCCUAAACCAUAAACCCUAAACACUAAACACUAAAAUCAAAAACCCUAAAACCUAAACCCUAAACUCCAAACCCUUAAACCUUAAACCCUAAACCCUAAAGACUAAACUCUAAACCCACCUUAAACCCUAAACCCUAAAUACUGAACACCUAAAACCAAAACCCUAAACUCUAAACACUAAAAUUUAAAACCUAAAACCUAAACACUAAACCCUUAACACUAAAAUAUAACCCUUAAACCUAAACACUAAACUUAAAACCC